Molecule: ribosomal RNA, 464 nt
Filed under: uncultured bacterium
Lineage: Bacteria
Description: partial 16S ribosomal RNA
Rfam family: Bacterial small subunit ribosomal RNA
Source: RNAcentral
CUACGGGAGGCUCCAGUGAGGAAUUUUGCGCAAUGGGCGAAAGCCUGACGCAGCAACGCCGCGUGUACGAAGAAGGCCUUCGGGUUGUAAAGUACUUUCAGGAGGGAAGAAGGUUAUCUGUUUAAGAGAUGGGUAACUUGACGGUACCUCCAGAAGAAGCUCCGGCUAACUCCGUGCCAGCAGCCACGGUAAUACGGAGGGAGCAAGCGUUAUUCGGAGUUACUGGGCGUAAAGCGCGCGUAGGUGGUUUACCAAGUCGGGAGUGAAAGUCCACGGCCUAACCGUGGGAUUGCUUCCGAAACUGGUGGACUAGAGGAUGAGAGGGGAAGGCGGAAUUCCAGGUGUAGCGGUGAAAUGCACAGAUAUCUGGAGGAACACCAGUGGCGAAGGCGGCCUUCUGGAUCAUACCUGACACUGAGGUGCGAAAGCGUGGGGAGCGAACAGGAUUAGAUACCCCUGUAGUC